This 422-nucleotide ribosomal RNA is filed under the name uncultured bacterium. Its description in RNAcentral is "bacterial SSU rRNA". It matches the Rfam family "Bacterial small subunit ribosomal RNA", at positions 360 to 773 of the family's 1533-position model. The record is from RNAcentral.
AAUUGUUCGCAAUGGGCGCAAGCCUGACGACGCAACGCCGCGUGGAGGAUGAAGAAUUUCGGUUCGUAAACUCCUGUCGAGCGGGACGAAAGAUGCGCGGGUUAAUACCCCGCGCAAGUGACGGUACAGCUAAAGGAAGCCCCGGCUCACUCCGUGCCAGCAGCCGCGGUAAUACGGGGGGGGCAAGCGUUGUCCGGAGUUACUGGGCGUAAAGCGCGCGCAGGCGGCCACUUAAGCCCGGCGUGAAAGCCCCCGGCUCAACCGGGGAGGGUCGUCGGGGACUGGGUGGCUUGAGGACGGCAGGGGCUGGUGGAAUCCCCGGUGUAGUGGUGAAAUGCGUAGAGAUCGGGGGGAACACCCGUGGCGAAGGCGGCCAGCUGGGCCGGUCCUGACGCUGAGGCGCGAAGGCGUGGGGAGCGAAC